RNAcentral lists this ribosomal RNA (504 nucleotides) under Actia interrupta. RNAcentral's name for it is "partial large subunit ribosomal RNA". It matches the Rfam family "Eukaryotic large subunit ribosomal RNA", at positions 275 to 654 of the family's 3401-position model. Lineage: Eukaryota; Metazoa; Arthropoda; Insecta; Diptera; Tachinidae. The record is from RNAcentral.
UGAUAGUGCAGCACUAAGUGGGUGGUAAACUCCAUCUAAAACUAAAUAUAACCAUGAGACCGAUAGUAAACAAGUACCGUGAGGGAAAGUUGAAAAGAACUCUGAAUAGAGAGUUAAAUAGUACGUGAAACUGCUUAGAGGUUAAGCCCGAUGAACCUGAAUAUCAAUUAUAGAAAAUUCAUCAAUAUGAUUAAAAAAUAUAAAAAAAAUUUUUAAUAAUGGCGUGCAUUUUUUCUAUAAAAUGACAUUGUAAUCUAUUAACAUAUUAAUAAAAUUUAUCAAAAGGUCAAGUAUGCGUAAGUUUAUUCAAAUUAUUUUGCUUGCAAUUUAACAUAGAAUAAAUGCUCUUGACUAGAUAAAAUGUUGAUAGAUAUAUUUAUAUAUGGUGCUCAAAUAUAUAUACAUUAUUUUAUAAUAGCAUAUUAAUAAUUUAUUUUUAUGUUUAUUAUAUGCACUAAUAUGAUUAACAAUGCGAAAGAUUCAGGAUACCUUCGGGACCCGUCU